RNAcentral lists this transfer RNA (62 nucleotides) under Ixodes uriae (common seabird tick). The record is from RNAcentral. Lineage: Eukaryota; Metazoa; Arthropoda; Arachnida; Ixodida; Ixodidae.
GUUAUAAUAAUUUAAUAUAAAAUGCUGGUUUUGUAAACCAGAAUUGACCCGUUCUUAUAGCU